CAGUGGUCAACAGUGGCCCGAACCAUUGGACUCCUUGCUCAAAACUGCCUCAGCUCAUCUGCCUGAAAUUCCAGUUACUGUCAUGUUGUGGGGACCCAUAUAGGAACAAAACGUGGACUACUCGAGAGGUAGCUACCCUGCGCCCACAGACUGUGACAACGGAGGGUGACCCAGGAGGGGAAGCUGCCUCUCUUCCGGCCUAGGAUCCAUUGUCAUCUGCAGAGAGAGAAGUGCCAAGGGAUCCUCAGAGAUACCAUGACUGCAGCACCAACCAAAAUCCACCCAGGUAAUCCUCUCCUGUUCAGUAAAUUCUCUUGACCCCAGCUCACUGUCCCCACCUACAACGGGAGAUGCUAGAGAUUAUGAAGUGACUUGAGG
This 378-nucleotide long non-coding RNA is filed under the name Homo sapiens (human). Its description in RNAcentral is "HSALNT0405945". Lineage: Eukaryota; Metazoa; Chordata; Mammalia; Primates; Hominidae. The record is from RNAcentral.